Sinocyclocheilus anshuiensis is the source of this 716-nucleotide long non-coding RNA. RefSeq lists it as uncharacterized. The transcript is spliced from 2 exons. The record is from RefSeq and is a predicted model, not a curated record. NCBI's taxonomy places the organism in Eukaryota, Metazoa, Chordata, Actinopteri, Cypriniformes, Cyprinidae.
UUAUUGACUUCAGAUCAUGCUCGAUGCUGUUCUGCACAAAAUCAUGCAAUCAUGUUUUUGCCGCCAGUGCUAAUUAGCUAAUUCCACUCUGGUGAUUUCUAAUAAGCUCUCUUAUAGACUCUCGAUAAAGCGUACGAUUCUCUGCAAAAGGGUUCCGAGUUGUAUUUUUGGUCGUGCAUGAAUUGUUGCAGAUCUUGCUAGUGCUUAUGUAUCACAUGGCAGUAGAGGCGUCAUUGUCAGCGCUGCCUUGCACGAGACGCACUAUUGCAAUCCCACCCCCAUAAAAUCACUGUUCGCGCACUUAAUAUGUCUAGUUUAUUAUUAUAGCCAUUUUGUGCUUGCUCACAAAGUAUUCUAUAUGAUUUUAUAUCUAACACCUGUCAAACAAGCUAGCGUGGUUCCAUUCGUGAAGAAGAAAGUUUGGAAGUUGUAGUUUUUUGCGUGCACUGUAGAAUCUCCAUGUUAUGAGAUUGUCUGCACUGCUAGACUACAUUUCCCAUAAUGCAGUAGUCAAACGCGCCGCCACUUUUCGUUGAGCGUAGCCAUUCAUUUUUGCGAAUCGGUUCUUUUGAACAGUAUAGUGAACAGUUCAUAAAAUGGCUCAGCUGCGCUUUACGUAAUCACGUGGACCCUGACACUUCCACUUUAAAGUGUGUUUUCCUCCAUGUCUGCAGUGGUAAUAACCCUGGUAGUAAAAUAUAAUCGGUGCAGACUGA